CUCAAAUAUCACAUUCUUAAAGCCAUGCAUACGAGCAAGUUUAAUAGCAAGCAGCAGUGCCUUCCCUUCAGCAGUUCAGGUGGCCAAAAGCCACACACCCUUUUACAUGCCGAGAAAACCACCUUGCCUUGAUCAUCACCAGCCACUACACCGAUACCAAUCCAUCCUUCAUGUAACACCCCCAAAUUUCUCUCUUUUUACACUACUACAAAAAUGGCCGAAGAGAUCCUUUGGUCGAUAUAACGGGUCUCUUCAAUAUAAGAGAUCUAAUAUUAGAGAAAACGGAUCUCUUAUAAGUACUGGGACCCACUAAAUUGCCUUAGAAAAAAAAGAAGAGACCCCUUAUAUAUAUAUAACCUGACGGAUCUCUAACUUGCACCAGGACCCACAAAUUUGCCAUGUGAAAAACAAAGGGGAGACCCCUCUACAUGCUCCACGGGUCUCUUAUCGCACAUUAUUCCUGCCAAUCAUUUUUUAAAAUUUUAUGCCCCUUAUUUUCUCUCUUCUCAUAACUUUACAGAUUUUAUUUUUCAUUCCCAUUUCCUUAUCUCUCUCCUCGUAGAAAUUCUGUUACUGCAACUUCUUCUUCUUCUUCGAUCACCGUCCAUCUGUUUCUAUCUUUUCCUCACAUUUAAAUCUCCUUGUAAAUUGACUUUGUAUGUCAACUAACAAUUGGAUGUGAAGGAUAUGUCGUAGCAGAUGCAGGGGCACCAAAGAGGAGAUUCAAGAAUCGUUGAUCGACCUUGAUGUUUUGUUGCACCUUUAAACAUGUCAAUGAUCUCCCUGCUCGUAUUCGUAGAAGGUUCCAGACAUUGAAAAAUCAAAUUUCUGCUGAAGAGAAUCAAAAUGAUGGAGACGAUGUUGUUGGGAUUACAAGAACAUCUUCAAUUGGCGAGAAAAUACGCGGUUGAAGGCCUCUAUGACACCUCUGUUAUUUUCUUCGAUGGCGCCAUUGCUCAAAUCAACAAGCUUCCCUCGUUUUUGUGCCUUAAUAUUUUACUGAAUUAUGUUUUCAAGCUUAAAUUUUAUGUGGUUAACUUUCAAUUGUAUGUUUGAUACAAUGUGUUGCAAUCACUUGUCCUUGUAAUCACUUGUGACUUGCAAAUUCUGAAGCCCGUGGCAUUUGAUGCUUAAUAGAAGGAUUUAAAACAAAUGAUGAAGUGUACUCACUCGUGGUGAACCUUUUUCUUCCUGGUUCAAUUUUCUUUUCGAA
Molecule: long non-coding RNA, 1213 nt
Organism: Spinacia oleracea (spinach)
Lineage: Eukaryota; Viridiplantae; Streptophyta; Magnoliopsida; Caryophyllales; Amaranthaceae
Exons: 2
Source: RefSeq, a predicted model, not a curated record